AAGUCGUAACAAGGUUUCCGUAGGUGAACCUGCGGAAGGAUCAUUAACACGUAUCCAACGUUAAAACAACCCCCGUGAACUUUCAGCUUGCUCCUGUAGCCCGUGAAAACAGCAAUCCCUGGUAAAUCAUUGUUGACCAGCUUUUGAGUCAGGGACCUCUGCCGAUUGUGAUAUUUUAUAGCUACGGUUGAGCGAUUGCAUCUAGUGACCUGGCAUCCCCAAGUAAUCAGUGUCUGAAAGUGUCAUUGAUUAUGUAAGGAUGGCGCACCUUUACGACAACACAGUACGAAUUGGCCGCGCGUGAAAUUCGCACGGCACCAAAAACCGAACAACUGUUAACAAUGGAUAUCUUGGUUCUC
RNAcentral lists this unclassified non-coding RNA (359 nucleotides) under fungal sp. Its description in RNAcentral is "partial internal transcribed spacer region". The stretch from base 1 to 46 matches the Rfam family "Eukaryotic small subunit ribosomal RNA", at positions 1786 to 1831 of the family's 1831-position model. Lineage: Eukaryota; Fungi. The record is from RNAcentral.